Molecule: ribosomal RNA, 301 nt
Filed under: uncultured bacterium
Lineage: Bacteria
Description: partial 16S ribosomal RNA
Rfam family: Bacterial small subunit ribosomal RNA
Source: RNAcentral
CAGUAGCCGCGGGAAUACGUAGGGUCCGAGCGUUGUCCGGAAUUAUUGGGCGUAAAGGGCGCGUAGGCGGUUCACGCAGUCAGAUGUGAAAUUCCUGGGCUUAACCUGGGGGCUGCAUUUGAGACGCGUGGGCUUGAGUGUGAAAGAGGGUCGUGGAAUUCCCAGUGUAGAGGUGAAAUUCGUAGAUAUUGGGAAGAACACCGGUGGCGAAGGCGGCGACCUGGUUCACAACUGACGCUGAGGCGCGAAAGCGUGGGGAGCAAACAGGAUUAGAUACCCCAGUAGUCCCUGUCUCUUAUAC